RNAcentral lists this ribosomal RNA (468 nucleotides) under uncultured bacterium. Its description in RNAcentral is "partial 16S ribosomal RNA". It matches the Rfam family "Bacterial small subunit ribosomal RNA", at positions 28 to 507 of the family's 1533-position model. The record is from RNAcentral.
GACGAACGCUGGCGGCGUGCUUAACACAUGCAAGUCGAACGGAAAGGCCCUGCUUUUGUGGGGUGCUCGAGUGGCGAACGGGUGAGUAACACGUGAGUAACCUGCCCUUGACUUUGGGAUAACUUCAGGAAACUGGGGCUAAUACCGGAUAGGAGCUCCUGCUGCAUGGUGGGGGUUGGAAAGUUUCGGCGGUUGGGGAUGGACUCGCGGCUUAUCAGCUUGUUGGUGGGGUAGUGGCUUACCAAGGCUUUGACGGGUAGCCGGCCUGAGCGGGUGACCGGCCACAUUGGGACUGAGAUACGGCCCAGACUCCUACGGGAGGAAGCAGUGGGGAAUAUUGCACUAUGGGCGGAAGCCUGAUGCAGCACCGCCGCGUGCGGGAUGACGGCAUUCGGGUUGUAAACCGCUUUCGCCUGUGACGAAGCGUGAGUGACGGUAAUGGGUAAAGAAGCACCGGCUAACUACGUG